RNAcentral lists this long non-coding RNA (739 nucleotides) under Rattus norvegicus (Norway rat). Its description in RNAcentral is "long non-coding RNA NONRATT000705". The record is from RNAcentral. Lineage: Eukaryota; Metazoa; Chordata; Mammalia; Rodentia; Muridae.
AAAAGUCAACCAAACAAAAACCUUAAAAACAAAAAGUUAAACGGCCUGAAGCCGGAUGUGUGUGGCAUAUUUUUGUAAUUCCAGCACAAGGCUAGAAGGAUUGCACUAAACUGGAAGCCAGUCAAUGCUAAUGGAAGUCUUACCAACAAAGAGGUGUGUGCGUGAGUGGGUGGGGUGUGUGUGGAACUGGGAAGAUGACUCACGGAGUAAAGUGCUUGUCUUAUAUGCCGGAGGUCCACGGAAAUGUAAAAGCUGGGCAGACAUGGUGACCACCUGCCACCCCAGCACCCAGGGAGCAGUGACAGCGUUCCCUGGAGCAAACUGGCUGGAUUAGCUGGAUUAAUGGGUUCCAAAUUCAGAGACAACUCCUACCUCAUUAAAGUGGAGAGUCGCCAAGGGAGACAUCAACAUCAACUUUUAGGCCUCCACACACGUGUGUACCCAUACGUAUGCAAACACAGAGUCAGCUCUGCACCAUACAUGCACACACAGAGAGACACAUGUGUGAGCAUACGUGUGCUUGUGCUCAAGAAAGGUCCAUUUAGGCGAACUAAUUUGCAUAGUCUCGAUCCCCUCAAUCCAGCCCCUUACAUUGAUUCUUAUCUUACUGUUCUACAGGAAAAAAUUAAAGAAAUUGGAGACCGCCAGCCAGAGAACCACCCAGAGGGAGUUCCUGAGGUGCCUCUGACCCCAGAGGCUGUGUCUGUGGAGCUGAGACCGCUCAUACUGUGGAUGGCCA